UGGACAGAACCGGGAGCAAUCCACCACUGGCCGAAACCCAAAAAUCACAGACAACACAGUCCUUUAUUUCAAUAAAACAGUCUGGCUGAGAUCUACACAUUUGGGACUCACUGGGAUAUUUGUCAUCUCAUAAAAUCUGAAUCUCUAGCAAGAGCAAGUUUUAUGAAGAAACCCUCCAUGUGGCUUCAGAUAAUUUUAACCAUGUGACUUCAAGGAAACCAACAGUCCAUAGAGUUCACUAAACACUUCAGACUAAUGGCUUACACAAAGUGAUUGUGUUAUUACAGAUAAUCAACAGGACUAUCAGUCAGAGGUGCUACUUCAAUAUGUAAAAAUUCAUUAAGAUGCCCAUAAAAAUUAAUUGGAAAUGUUCUAUUUCCUUCAAUCAUCAUUUUAAUCUUAGCCAUUUUAAUGGAUCCGCCUUAGGUCUGCUCCCUGGGAGAUAAAUGUCAAUUUUUUUACAGUGAUGUGAAAGUACUUUCGUGUACUGUAUACUCAUGUAUAAUCUAUAAAUAAAUAAAUAAGAUUUAUAAUCUAUCACAUUA
Molecule: non-coding RNA, 545 nt
Organism: Pantherophis guttatus
Lineage: Eukaryota; Metazoa; Chordata; Lepidosauria; Squamata; Colubridae
Source: RefSeq, a predicted model, not a curated record